AGGUUUGAUCCUGGCUCAGGAUGAACGCUGGCGGCGUGCUUAACACAUGCAAGUCGAACGAACCUUCGGGUUAGUGGCGGACGGGUGAGUAACGCGUGAGAAUCUGCCCUCAGGAGGGGGAUAACGGUUGGAAACGACCGCUAAUACCCCAUAUGCCUACUGGUGAAAUGAAUUUCGCCUGAGGAUGAGCUCGCGUCUGAUUAGCUUGUUGGUGAGGUAAUGGCUCACCAAGGCUUCGAUCAGUAGCUGGUCUGAGAGGAUGAUCAGCCACACUGGGACUGAGACACGGCCCAGACUCCUACGGGAGGCAGCAGUGGGGAAUUUUCCGCAAUGGGCGAAAGCCUGACGGAGCAACGCCGCGUGAGGGAUGAAGGCCUCUGGGCUGUAAACCUCUUUUAUCAAGGAAGAAGAUCUGACGGUACUUGAUGAAUAAGCCACGGCUAAUUCCGUGCCAGCAGCCGCGGUAAUACGGGAGUGGCAAGCGUUAUCCGGAAUUAUUGGGCGUAAAGCGUCCGCAGGCGGCCCUUCAAGUCUGCUGUUAAAAAGUGGAGCUUAACUCCAUCAUGGCAGUGGAAACUGUUGGGCUUGAGUGUGGUAGGGGCAGAGGGAAUUCCCGGUGUAGCGGUGAAAUGCGUAGAUAUCGGGAAGAACACCAGUGGCGAAGGCGCUCUGCUGGGCCAUCACUGACGCUCAUGGACGAAAGCCAGGGGAGCGAAAGGGAUUAGAUACCCCUGUAGUCCUGGCCGUAAACGAUGAACACUAGGUGUCGGGGGAAUCGACCCCCUCGGUGUCGUAGCCAACGCGUUAAGUGUUCCGCCUGGGGAGUACGCACGCAAGUGUGAAACUCAAAGGAAUUGACGGGGGCCCGCACAAGCGGUGGAGUAUGUGGUUUAAUUCGAUGCAACGCGAAGAACCUUACCAGGGUUUGACAUCCUGCGAAUUUCUGGGAAACCGGAAAGUGCCUUCGGGAGCGCAGUGACAGGUGGUGCAUGGCUGUCGUCAGCUCGUGUCGUGAGAUGUUGGGUUAAGUCCCGCAACGAGCGCAACCCACGUCUUUAGUUGCCAGCAUUCAGUUGGGCACUCUAGAGAGACCGCCGGUGAUAAACCGGAGGAAGGUGUGGAUGACGUCAAGUCAUCAUGCCCCUUACAUCCUGGGCUACACACGUACUACAAUGCUACGGACAAAGGGCAGCAAGUUCGCGAGGACAAGCAAAUCCCAUAAACCGUGGCUCAGUUCAGAUCGUAGGCUGCAACUCGCCUACGUGAAGGAGGAAUCGCUAGUAAUCGCAGGUCAGCAUACUGCGGUGAAUACGUUCCCGGGCCUUGUACACACCGCCCGUCACACCAUGGAAGUUGGCCACGCCCGAAGCCGUUACUCCAACCCUUGUGGAGGAGGACGUCGAAGGUGGGGCUGAUGACUGGGGUGAAGUCGUAACAAGGUAACC
This 1445-nucleotide ribosomal RNA is filed under the name uncultured bacterium. RNAcentral's name for it is "bacterial SSU rRNA". It matches the Rfam family "Bacterial small subunit ribosomal RNA". The record is from RNAcentral.